GACGAACGCUGGCGGCGUGCCUAAUACAUGCAAGUUGAGCGCUGAAGGUUGGUACUUGUACCCACUGGAUGAGCAGCGAACGGGUGAGUAACGCGUGGGGAAUCUGCCUUUGAGCAGGGGACAACAUUUGGAAACGAAUGCUAAUACCGCAUAAAAACUUUAAACACAAGUUUUAAGUUUGAAAGAUGCAAUUGCAUCACUCAAAGAUGAUCCCGCGUUGUAUUAGCUAGUUGGUGAGGUAAAGGCUCACCAAGGCGAUGAUACAUAGCCGACCUGAGAGGGUGAUCGGCCACAUUGGGACUGAGACACGGCCCAAACUCCUACGGGAGGCAGCAGUAGGGAAUCUUCGGCAAUAGACGAAAGUCUGACCGAGCAACGCCGCGUGAGUGAAGAAGGUUUUCGGAUCGUAAAACUCUGUUGGUAGAGAAGAACGUUGGUGAGAGUGGAAAGCUCACCAAGUGACGGUAACUACCCAGAAAGGGACGGCUAACUACGUG
This 497-nucleotide ribosomal RNA is filed under the name uncultured bacterium. RNAcentral's name for it is "partial 16S ribosomal RNA". It matches the Rfam family "Bacterial small subunit ribosomal RNA", at positions 28 to 507 of the family's 1533-position model. The record is from RNAcentral.